Papaver somniferum (opium poppy) is the source of this 582-nucleotide long non-coding RNA. RefSeq lists it as uncharacterized. The record is from RefSeq and is a predicted model, not a curated record. Lineage: Eukaryota; Viridiplantae; Streptophyta; Magnoliopsida; Ranunculales; Papaveraceae. The transcript has 3 exons.
GGUCGAAGACGCUUUGGUAAUCUUGAGAUAACAUUUCAAGAAAUUAAGGGCUGCAAGAGCUCACCUCUCACCGGAGUUGUCCAACUAGAAAAUGCACAUAAUCAGGAUUUGUUCGUAAUAGAUAGAUGCUGUAAAAAAAAGCUACCUAUACUUAAGAACAAGAAAGCUAAAUGGAAAAGACAUCACUAUACAUCCCACUAUAUAAAUGAAACGCGUCUUGCAGAUAAACCCACACAUUAAACGGCAGGGAUUGUAAAGACCUUGCGAAAUUUUGAACUACAUAAGAGCAUCAGACACAACACACACUAUUACUUCCGUUUCUUCCAGAAAUUAAGGAAAUCUAUGAGAGAAGGGGAAUUUGACAUGUUCUGUUAUGAAUCUAUGCAUGGAAGGCGAGAUCAUAUAGCUAUGGCUGCAAUGUGCUAGUGGAUAGAUUUUGGUUCUCUUUGAUGCAGGAUGAAAAGCUCUCCUUGCAGCGUUCAAAAUUCCGCUAUAUUUGUUUUUGCUUUUGAAGUUACUGUAAAAAUUUUGUUCAUGAUGUGAAACAAGAAAAGGCUGUGGAAAAUGGCGCGUUAGGCCUUG